CUGGGAUGGAGCUCCUGGCAGGGAGGGGCAGCCUCCAUCUCCACAGUUCACUCAACUCAGGCCUUCUAGCCUGUUGGCUUUGUAGAAUCCAAAUGGUCUGGAUGAGAAAGACUCCCCAUAAUGCAGCACAUCUGCUCUACCAAAAAGCAGAAAACUGCUUCUUUAAUCAGGUCCCUGAUCCUGUUCAUCCCAACUGGGUGAGACCUCCCAACAGGGUCUCCAGCCAUCUCCUACAGGUGUGUUCUGGCCAGCAACAGGUCAGUACCCCCCUGGAAUGGAGCUUCCAGAGGAAGAAGCUGGCUGCCAUCUUUGCUGUUUCACAGCCUCCACUGAUGAUACCUCCAGUAUGGGAAAAACCAAAGCAGCUAAGGUCUGAAGUGGACUUCCAGCAAACCACAGCAGCCCUACAAUAAAGUGGCCUGACUAUUAAAAGAAAAACAAACCAACAGAAAACAACAAAGUACAGUAUCGGUGAAAAGGACCCUGCAAAAUCCAAGGUCAAAGGUCAGCAACCUCAAAGAUUGAAGGUAUAAGCCCACAAAAAUGAGAAAGAAUCAACACAAAAAUGUUGAAAACUUAAAAAGCAGGAUGCCUCUUCUCCUCCAAAUGACUAUAACACCUCUCCAGCAAGGGCACAGAAUUGGGCUGAGGCUGAAAUAGCUAGAUUGACAGAAGUAGGGUUCAGAAGGUGGUAAUAAUGAACUUUGCUGAGAUAAAGAAGCAUGUUGUAACCCAAUGCAAAGAAGCUAAGAAUCAUGAUAAUACAGGAGCUGACAGCCAGAAUAACCAGUUUACAGAGGAACAUAAUCCACCUGAUGGAGCUGAAAAAUACAACACAAGAACUUCACAAUGCAAUUACAAGUAUCAGAGGGAGAACAGACCAAGUGGAAGAAGGAAUCUCAGAGUUUGAACACUAUCUUUCUUAAAUAAGAGGGGCAGACAAGAAUAGAGGGAAAAGAAUGAACAACACCCCCAAGAAAUAUGGGAUUAUAUAAAGAGACUGACCCAUGACUGAUUGGGGUACCUAAAAGAGAUAAGGAUAAUGGAGCCAAAUUGGAAAACACACUUCAGGAUAUGAUACAGAAGAUCUUUCCCAGCCUAGCAAGACACACCAACAUUCAAAUUCAGGAAAUGCAGAGAACCCCCAUAAGAUACACCAUGAGAAGAUAAACCCCAAGACACAUAAUCAUUGGAUUCUCCAAGGUUGAAAUGAACAAAAAAAAGUUAAGGGCAGCCAGAGAGAAUGACCAGGCCACCUACAAAGGGAAGCCUAUCAGACUAACAGCAGACCCGUCUGUGGAAACCUUAUAAAGUUAGAGUGGUUGGAAGCUAUUCUUUAACAUUUUUAAAGAAUCUCCAACCCAGAAUUUCGUAUCUGACCAAACUAAGCUUCAUAAGUGAAGAAGAAAUACGAUCCUUUUCAGACAAGCAAACACUUAGGAAAUUUGUCACCACCAGGACUGCCUUGCAAAAGCUCCUCUAGGAAGCACUAAAUAUGAAAAGAUAAAAACCAUUACCAGCCACUAAAAAACACAAUGAAGUACACAAACCAGUGACACUAUGAAGCA
Molecule: long non-coding RNA, 1568 nt
Filed under: Macaca fascicularis (crab-eating macaque)
Lineage: Eukaryota; Metazoa; Chordata; Mammalia; Primates; Cercopithecidae
Description: lncRNA (ENSMFAG00000048591.1)
Source: RNAcentral